UUAAUGAGUAAAAUAUAUGAAUAGGACAAACAAGGCCUAGAAAGGAUCCUUUAAAAUGCAUUUAUUUUAUAUUGCUUGUUUUUUGUUUUUUAAUACCACAGGGCUGGAAUCAAUUGAAAAUACAGUCUUGACUUCCUCAGUGCACAAGCCACUGGAAAUCUAUAAUAACCUCUGGGGAAAGAAAAUGGAAAUUUGCAGGUUCAACAACUCUUGGUACGCCGGACCCUUUCUCUGCCCCGACUAAUUUCCAAUCAGAAGAUCUGGUGUGAUGCCUGGAAGGAAUUGAGAGAUCUGACUCCUGGCCCUGUUGUAUGAUGUAUGAGCUAGUUCAUUUCUGCAACUACAACUCUUUCAUUUAUUUGCAUCACCUUAGCAAAAUCAGGGCUGUGAAGAGAAAUGUUGCUGAAAACUUCUAGGGAACGUUUGGACACGGAGAAUUUGCUAUGUGCCAGACUGAAGCCUGAGUUGAGUCAAGGCUGAGUUUUGUGUCCUUGAGGGAGUCACUGAACCUCUCUCCUUGCUUCAGCUGCAAGGAUUAAUUCAUUCUUGUUGAAAAAUUCUUUGAGAUUCUCAUCUGGAUGGAGUCAUAAAAGUGCGAAUUAUAAACAGUACACCACACUAUACGGCUCAGCAAACUAAAGAAGCAGUGAGAUAUAUACAUAACUGAACGCUAUCCAGGUAUUGCUAAAUCAUCUUCAUGUCCCUAGGGACUGUACUGCUGAAGUGUGAAAGUGUUUUUUCCUUUGAAAUACAUUGAAAUAAAUGAAGAAAAUGUUUACUUGCUAGAUGACUG
This 793-nucleotide long non-coding RNA is filed under the name Numida meleagris (helmeted guineafowl). RNAcentral's name for it is "lncRNA (ENSNMEG00000004515.1)". Lineage: Eukaryota; Metazoa; Chordata; Aves; Galliformes; Numididae. The record is from RNAcentral.